RNAcentral lists this ribosomal RNA (374 nucleotides) under uncultured bacterium. RNAcentral describes it as "partial 16S ribosomal RNA". It matches the Rfam family "Bacterial small subunit ribosomal RNA", at positions 338 to 707 of the family's 1533-position model. The record is from RNAcentral.
CCUACGGGUGGCUGCAGUGAGGAAUAUUGGUCAAUGGACGAGAGUCUGAACCAGCCAAGUAGCGUGAAGGAUGACUGCCCUAUGGGUUGUAAACUUCUUUUAUAUGGGAAUAAAACAGGGUAUGCAUACCCUCUUGUAUGUACCAUAUGAAUAAGGAUCGGCUAACUCCGUGCCAGCAGCCGCGGUAAUACGGAGGAUCCGAGCGUUAUCCGGAGUGACUGGGUGUAAAGAGUUGCGUAGGUGGCAUAAUAAGUAGCUAGUGAAAUCUGGUGGCUCAACCAUUCAGACUAUUAGCUAAACUGUUAAGCUCGAGACCGUUAGGGGUAACUGGAAUUUCUGGUGUAGGAGUGAAAUCCGUAGAUAUUGGGAGGAAC